UACGGAGGGUGCGUGCGUUAAUCGGAAUAAUUGGGCGUAAAGGGCACGCAGGCGGGCUUUUAAGUGAGUUGUGAAAUCCCCGGGCUUAACCUGGGAAUAGCAUUUCAGACUGGGAGUCUAGAGUACUUUAGGGAGGGGUAGAAUUCCACGUGUAGCGGUGAAAUGCGUAGAUAUGUGGAGGAAUACCGAAGGCGAAGGCAGCCCAUUGGGAAUGUACUGACGCUGAUGUGCGAAAGUGUGGGGAGCAAACAGG
This 253-nucleotide ribosomal RNA is filed under the name uncultured bacterium. RNAcentral's name for it is "partial 16S ribosomal RNA". It matches the Rfam family "Bacterial small subunit ribosomal RNA", at positions 524 to 776 of the family's 1533-position model. The record is from RNAcentral.